CCCAGCAAGUAGCUUGGCACAGAAUAUUCCUGUAUCCCGUAUUAGAUGAGCCAACAUUUUCUAAUUCACCUUUUCACUUGGACAUCUGCUACACAAAACAUAUGGCUCUCUCUGAGAAAAUCUGGAGUCCAGAUUUUUGCAGUGAAUUACAGAGCCUGCAAAAAUUCAAGUGGAUGAGAUGACACAAGGACAUGAAUACUAAGAAAUGUGUCCCAUUGGGCUGUAGAAAAUUAUUUUACAGACUGAUUAUCACUGGUACAAUAAGGGAUACAACUACAAAAGUGUUUACUACUGUUUAUAUUAAGAGAAAACAGCAAAAAAGAAGGCAACCAGAGGAACCUGGCUGUUGUCUGAAUUAUGAGCUAUUUACAAAAUAUUAUUUUGCAAUAUUUCAAUAUGUUAUUACAGAUGUAUAUGUAGAUUUAAUAUUUA
Molecule: long non-coding RNA, 432 nt
Filed under: Pan troglodytes (chimpanzee)
Lineage: Eukaryota; Metazoa; Chordata; Mammalia; Primates; Hominidae
Description: long non-coding RNA NONPTRT017410
Source: RNAcentral